This 301-nucleotide ribosomal RNA is filed under the name uncultured bacterium. RNAcentral's name for it is "partial 16S ribosomal RNA". It matches the Rfam family "Bacterial small subunit ribosomal RNA", at positions 509 to 807 of the family's 1533-position model. The record is from RNAcentral.
CAGCCGCCGCGGUAAUACGGAGGGAGCUAGCGUUGUUCGGAAUUACUGGGCGUAAAGCGCACGUAGGCGGUUAUUCAAGUCAGAGGUGAAAGCCCGGGGCUCAACCCCGGAACUGCCUUUGAAACUAGAUAGCUUGAAUCUUGGAGAGGCGAGUGGAAUUCCGAGUGUAGAGGUGAAAUUCGUAGAUAUUCGGAAGAACACCAGUGGCGAAGGCGACUCGCUGGACAAGUAUUGACGCUGAGGUGCGAAAGCGUGGGGAGCAAACAGGAUUAGAUACCCGGGUAGUCCCUGUCUCUUAUAC